UACGUAGGGGGCUAGCGUUGUCCGGAAUCAUUGGGCGUAAAGAGCGUGUAGGCGGCCCGGUAAGUCUGAUGUGAAAGCCCACGGCUCAACCGUGGAAGGUCAUUGGAAACUGAAAGGCUUGAGUACAGAAGAGGAAAGCGGAAUUCCACGUGUAGCGGUGAAAUGCGUAGAGAUGUGGAGGAACACCGAUGGCGAAGGCAGCCCCCUGGGCUAACACUGACGCUCAGGCACGAAAGCGUGGGGAGCAAACAGG
RNAcentral lists this ribosomal RNA (253 nucleotides) under uncultured bacterium. RNAcentral's name for it is "partial 16S ribosomal RNA". It matches the Rfam family "Bacterial small subunit ribosomal RNA", at positions 524 to 776 of the family's 1533-position model. The record is from RNAcentral.